This 440-nucleotide ribosomal RNA is filed under the name uncultured bacterium. RNAcentral describes it as "partial 16S ribosomal RNA". It matches the Rfam family "Bacterial small subunit ribosomal RNA", at positions 338 to 795 of the family's 1533-position model. The record is from RNAcentral.
CCUACGGGUGGCAGCAGUGGGGAAUAUUGCACAAUGGGGGAAACCCUGAUGCAGCGACGCCGCGUGAGUGAAGAAGUAUUUCGGUAUGUAAAGCUCUAUCAGCAGGGAAGAAAAUGACGGUACCUGAUUAAGAAGCCCCGGCGAACUACGGGCCAGCAGCCGCGGUAAUACGUAGGGGGCAAGCGUUAUCCGGAUUUACUGGGUGUAAAGGGAGGGUAGACGGCAGCAAAAGUCUGGAGUGAAAUUCCGGGGCUUAACCCCGGAACUGCUGUUGAAACUGUGCAGUUAGAGUGCAGGAGAGGUAAGUGGAAUUCGUGGUGUAGCGGUGAAAUGCGUAGAUAUUAGGAGGAACACCAGUGGCGAAGGCGGCUUACUGGACUGUAACUGACGUUGAGGCUCGAAAGCGUGGGUAUCGAACAGGAUUAGAUACCCGUGUAGUC